This is a long non-coding RNA of Aethalodelphis obliquidens (Pacific white-sided dolphin), 3296 nucleotides long. RefSeq lists it as uncharacterized. The transcript is spliced from 2 exons. The record is from RefSeq and is a predicted model, not a curated record. Lineage: Eukaryota; Metazoa; Chordata; Mammalia; Artiodactyla; Delphinidae.
GACUGCGAGGUCCCGGCCUGUCCGGGUCCCGGUCCGCGGGGCUGCGGCUGAUGGCUGGAGCGCGCGGCGGAGACUGGGCCGUCCGGAAUGACUGCCCUGCGCCACAACGGCAGGUCCCUGGCGGUCCGUCCCGGAGGCACCGGCCAGUCCGGGCUGAGCGCUCCGGGCCGGUGGCCGUGACGAGUGACGUCCCCAUGGGACCUCCGGGGUGCCUCCCAACUCCGCGGUGAAGCCAAGGUCAGACCCGGCCCCACGCUUUGCUGAGGUUUGGCCCUGGAUUGUCCUUUGCCCACUGCGCACAGGGAAGGAGGGAAAGAGGACCUUUGUCCAGAUCUGUCCGAAAGUUGGGGGACAUUUUUGGGCCAGGAAGAGCCCCAGGGCGAAGCCAAAGCUGAGAGCCUGCCAGCCUUGGGCCAGGCGACUCCCUCGUGCAGGGCCUUUGCUCCUGCUCUUUCCCUGCUCCAAGCAGGGUUCCUCACACGCGGGCUGGAUCCCAGGCCCACCUCUCCUGCCUGCCUCCUGUGUUUUUCCUUGCACUUCUCUCUGAAAUUAGCUCAUUCCCUUAUUUUCCUGUUUCCUGUGUGUCUUUCUUCUCACCCACGCUCUGGAAGGGUGGGAGCCUUGGUGAUCUGGGCACCAGUUCCCCCAGAACAGAGCCUGGCCCAGAGAAACCCCCCAUAGAUGCCCAGGAGGCCUAGGGUGGGCGCAGGGUGGGGAGGGCAAGCCUGGCCUUGAAGGGCCCGACCCCAGGUGAGGAGCUGGGGUCAGUGUUGCAGAAUGACUCAGGGGUUCUGUUCAGAAGAGCCUUGUGCAGGGCCCCCCAGGGGACCCCGCUGAUGCCUGCGUGGCACGGGUGGUCCUUGCAGGGGUUCCCAAGCCCCUGCCCACCUGGACCCAGAGUCACACCUGAGACCGCGGACAAACUCGUAAGCUCACCUGUGGCUGGGGCUGUUCUGUUCCCGCUGCCCCGAUUCCACACCAACUUCAGGGAGACGCCUCGGAACCUCACCCUGGGGCCCCAGCAUGGCGCCCCAGACCUCGUAUGAACCAGCUCCGCCCCUGCCGGCUCUGUGACCUCGGCGAAGCCCUCACCCACCUCCAGCUCGGGGUCCUCUUCCCUGACGCCCAGGCCCUCCUGCCCCAUCUCCUGGCCGCCUCACCCCACUGUCCUACCCCUACUCUGGAAUCUGGAGGGACUGGGUGUUUGAGGGCCUGUGAGUGCCGGGCUCUGUGCCCUACUGCCUGCCCUGCCUGAGCUCACAGCAGAGGGAACAUCUGGUGGGUUCCAGUGGUUCUGCAGGUCAGUGUGGGAGGGUCAGUGGCCCUCCCAGCCCUGGCAACCUUGCCUCUGCCUCACUCUUGGGCUGCAUGGCCUCGUGGACCUCCCUAGGCCCAUCCGGUACCUGCAGGUGCCGCUGGAGCGCAGGGUCCACGUGGCCCUGAUGCGUGGGAGCUGAGCUUGGCCCCUUCCUGGCCCCUCCCUGCAAGAAGACUCAGCCGAUAGCCAGGCUGCGCCAUCCUUGCAGGGCAGGCCUAGGCCCUGGGGGUGGCAGUGCGAGUGCGCAGCCCGCUAGAGUGCAGGGCCGGUCCACAGUCGUCCGGCGCAUGCCUGAGUUGGCCCCGGUGCGCUCCGGCCUCGGUGUGUUGAGGUUGGCCUGGUCACCAUCGCUGUACCACCAGCUGGCGCGUGAGGGCUCGCGGCUGCAGCUGGCAGAGAUGUGGGCCAUCGGCGCAGGGCGUUCAGCCAUGGGGCGUGUGGUGCAGCAUGCUGAAGCCACAGCCCUCCUGGUUGUGGACACCGCCGGAGCCCUGGAACGUGUACCCUGUACGGUGUGGGCCGUGGCACUGCAGCCCUUCAGCUGCACCCCCAUCCUGGAUCCUGGCCAUCUGGGCCCCCCGGCAGGUGGUCCGGGAGGAACAUCCUUUCCCGGAGAGCUGAGGCUGGCAGAAGUAGGCUGAGAAGUUGGGGACUCUGGGGUCCCAACCUUCUCCCCAGCCCCUAGCCCGGGAAGCAUGUCAGCACACCACGAUGCUUGUGGGCAGGGGGGUGGUACGAAAGCCCCCAGCCCUCCCAGGCACUCACCUGCGGCCCUGAGUACAGGCCGAGAGGUAGAGCCAAUAAAACCGGUCUUCCUGGUCCACGCGGAAGCUGUCGUAGCGGGCCCGCAGCGAGUGGUUGCCCAUGUCCCGCAGAUCCACCGUCAGCUCGCUGUGCAGGCCGGGCUGGGAGGUCAGGCCCAAGAUGUGUUCCAGCCCCGGCCAGUGGUCACCCAGGCUCAGGCCUGCCCUGUGUUCUCAACAAGGCCCCGGGGCCCUGGCUGCACGGCCUUCCUACCUCCCCAGUCUCCAAAGCCCUCUUUGUACUCCUGCCGGCACCUCUCAAAUUCCAGCAGCCUCUCCCCGCCCGUCUCACCUCUGAAUCACCGUCCAACCACUGUCUGCACGCUUGUCAUAGAACCUGGGGUGGGGCGAGGACGUCAGCGCCUCCCGUGCUGGCUGGGCCUGGGUGGGUCGGAGGGGCCUGCCCCUCCACGGUCCAGGCGGGAGGGAUGUCGCCCUCCCCUAAGCACUCUUUAUAUGUUUGAGAAAUGAAACCUUGUUGUUUUUCUGCUUGUCAGUGUAAUACAAACUUGCAUUGGAAUACACUAACAUUCUCAGAAAUAGGGUGAAGACUCACAGUAACUCCCCAGGCCUCAGGCUGACGGCUUCAAUUUAAUGGAUGUUAUUUUAUACUUAACUUGUAUCCUGGGCAUCUUUGUUCCCUUGGAAGUAGACUUCUCUUCUCCUUUCCUGACUGUAGCCAGCGCCCAGAGAGCAUCUCUGUUCCAGGUGCAGGUGUCUGAGGAUGGCCUCUGGCCUGGCCCGGCCCUUCCCUCCCAACAGCCCACGGUAACAUAUUUUUGCCAAAGUGAUACACGAACUGCAGGCUGCUCUCCUGGACGGGGCACUGGCUCCUCUGGCUGGCUGGCGUACACACCUCUGGGGCCCUCUGGUUCUCCACCCAGAUCUGAGAGCAGCCUCUCCCUGGGGAAGACUUGGGCCAGGAGGGGUCGGAGUUCUCCGGGUGACCAGACCCAGAGCCCGAGAAGGGCCCGUGGACAGUCCAGCAGGUGACUUACAACCUUGGUCCUGGCAGAUGUGCAGCCACUGUCCUCUCGCCUUGGGCCACACCUGCCUCAGGCCUCUUCCCUUCUGGAAGCCGCUGGCCUUCAGGCUCCUAGCACUUGCUGGCUCCCACCCCUCCGUCAGACCCUCGAUUCCUCCCGCCGCCCCUGGACCCACCUCUCCCUGUGGGU